UCGGCAAUGGGCGAAAGCCUGACCGAGCGACGCCGCGUGUGCGAUGAAGGCCUUUUGGUUGUAAAGCACUGUCGAAGGGGAGCAAGCCGCAAGGUUGGGAGUACCCUUGGAGGAAGCACGGGCUAAGUUCGUGCCAGCAGCCGCGGUAAGACGAACCGUGCGAACGUUAUUCGGAAUCACUGGGCUUAAAGGGUGCGUAGGCGGGUGGACAAGUCGAGGGUGAAAGCCUCUAGCUUAACUAGAGAAGUGCCCUCGAUACUGUUUGUCUUGAGAGAGAUAGGGGCACACGGAACUUCCGGUGGAGCGGUGAAAUGCGUUGAGAUCGGAAGGAACGCCCGCGGCGAAAGCGAGUCUCUGGACCCAAACUGACGCUGAGACGCGAAAGCCAGGGGAGCAAACGGGAUUAGAUACCCCGGUAGUCCUGGCUGUAAACAUUGGGCACUAGAUUGUGGACUUUCAUGGGUUCACAGUCGAAGCAAAAGUGUUAAGUACCCCGCCUGGGGAGUAUGGUCGCAAGGCUGAAACUCAAAGGA
RNAcentral lists this ribosomal RNA (533 nucleotides) under uncultured bacterium. RNAcentral's name for it is "bacterial SSU rRNA". It matches the Rfam family "Bacterial small subunit ribosomal RNA", at positions 365 to 908 of the family's 1533-position model. The record is from RNAcentral.